CACAAACUCACUGUGAUUGACAGCAUGAAGUGUGUUACCACAGCAACAGAGUUUGUGAUGACCAAUGAAAGACAGCGUGUAAUACUGAGCUGCAACACACACACUCACACACACACACACACACACACACACUCUGUCUCUCUCACGUACACACACACACACUCUGUCUCUCUCACAUUCACACACACUUUUAGAUUCUCAAAUCACUUCAUUCUAUGUGAUUUAUAAUCUUGUUUCCUCAAGGGCACCUAAAACAUAUCCCCACAAGGAGACUGGUAUCUGCUGGUAUCAUUAUCAGUGUGUGAUGAGUCUUACAGCAGAGCUCCGCUGCGACUGACGAUCACUCUGUGUGUACGGUGUUCACACUCAUCACAUCUGCUCAUAAACACAGGUCAGUCCUCUGCUUCGCAUGCUUGGGUUUGGCUGUUGGACUUUAAGAUGCCAUUGAAAGAUCUUGUGUUUUGAGUUUGCUUGAAGUGUGUUUUGUACUCAGACAGCCGCACAGUGAGACUGAUGAGGUGAUGCAGCACAGCUCCUCCUGUCUCCAGCUUCUCAGGGGCUCGUAUGGAGGACCACAGGGACGGGAGGUUUCUUUAAGCUGCUGGUUGCUAGGUGGCAGGCUGAAGAAGGACCUGAGUUAUAUCUUGAGUGAGCACCUCAGAAGAACAAGCUGCAGUGCUACAGCGAGUCCAGCAGAAACACUAAACACACACCAGAAACAACAACAACAAAAGGACAUUUUGUUAAUGAUUGACAUACAGUAGUCCACUAGGGAGCCUCAGCAAACCUCUAUGGGGACCUAAGAGUCUUAAAAUGAUUUUCAUUGAUCUAAUCACUAUCCUUAGAAACUGUAGCAGAUCUUGGCUAAAUACAAUACAAUACAAAUGACAUGUGUUGUUUGUGUAAGCAGCUGGUUAGUCAUCUCUUUAGGAUUUAGUUGUAUUCUGUUGGGCAUUUGAUGCCUGUAAACAACAGUGUACAGUAUAGCACAGAAAUGAAUGGAAAGAAAGAAUAAAAGAGCGUGUGAAAGCUGACUGUUGUUCCAGAAGGACUGCUUGAGAUCAGGAGCAGGACGUGCACAGAUUAAAAAGCUUGUCCUGUUUGAUUGCACGUUCUGCUGUGUGUCUGCUGCCAUGUGACGCUAAAUCCGGUAAACUGCUUCAAUCCUCCGGGUUUGAGGAUUAUAAUGAUUCUCUGAAUGUGAUGUAUUGGAAAGGGACUCGACGGUGUUCACAUGAAGAGACACAGAGUCUCAUCAGUUUCCUCACGCUUGUCGUGACACAGCAGCCACGGUAGUACUGUAUAACUGACACUGUUUUAUUUAUUUCUUUAUAAUAAAUAUUCCCAAACCUGUUAACUAUAUCAUGAAAUGUAUCGAUUCUCAGAUAUGUAAAAGUGUAUGCAUUUUGCACCUUUAUGGAUUAUUGAUCUAUAAUGGAUGAUAGGCAAAGUACCCUAAUACUGUAAUCUAUUAACUAGCAAUAAAAACGUUUUACUUGCG
RNAcentral lists this long non-coding RNA (1501 nucleotides) under Carassius auratus (goldfish). RNAcentral's name for it is "lncRNA (ENSCARG00000026578.1)". Lineage: Eukaryota; Metazoa; Chordata; Actinopteri; Cypriniformes; Cyprinidae. The record is from RNAcentral.